AGCGAACGCUGGCGGCAGGCUUAACACAUGCAAGUCGAGCGGGCACCUUCGGGUGUCAGCGGCAGACGGGUGAGUAACACGUGGGAACGUACCCUUCGGUUCGGAAUAACGCUGGGAAACUAGCGCUAAUACCGGAUACGCCCUUAUGGGGAAAGGUUUACUGCCGAAGGAUCGGCCCGCGUCUGAUUAGCUAGUUGGCGGGGUAACGGCCUACCAAGGCGACGAUCAGUAGCUGGUCUGAGAGGAUGAUCAGCCACACUGGGACUGAGACACGGCCCAGACUCCUACGGGAGGCAGCAGUGGGGAAUAUUGGACAAUGGGCGCAAGCCUGAUCCAGCCAUGCCGCGUGAGUGAUGAAGGCCUUAGGGUUGUAAAGCUCUUUUGUCCGGGACGAUAAUGACGGUACCGGAAGAAUAAGCCCCGACUAACUUCGUG
Molecule: ribosomal RNA, 435 nt
Filed under: uncultured bacterium
Lineage: Bacteria
Description: partial 16S ribosomal RNA
Rfam family: Bacterial small subunit ribosomal RNA
Source: RNAcentral